UAUUUGUUUUUAUCUUGCACUAAUACUACCUUUUAGUUUUGUUGUGGGUUGUUGUUUUGAGGAACUUAGAGUUGAAGAAGAAGCUUGAAGGAUUUAAAAGGUGAAGUAGAGGAAGACUUAAAUACGGAUUUAGAAUUAUCUAGAAAUUAGAAUCAAGGCAAGGGUCGUCAUCAAGAAUGAAGCUCUACUUCAAUACUGUGAGCUCCUCUUUUCAGAGUUUAAUGGCAAUCUUAGCCUAAAUUUAGGAAUUAAGAAGCUCUUUAUAACAGUACUGCUGAGGCCGAAAGGGGAAAAAGUAUUUGAUGUGGCGAACUUGAGUUUCUAGGGACUUUUUUUUGGGCAAAAAUUUGACUCGAGGAUCCAAGGGGACUGGAGCUCGAGAAGUAUUGGAGCAGAUAGGAGUCACGGUGCUAAGUAGUAGAAAGAAAGGGAAAAAAAAGAAACGUGACAAGUAGUCAUCAAUUGCAGAGGAUUACUCUUUGUAAUCUUCAUUUAAUUUCUAUGAAAUUUUAAGUUCAUUUCUGGGUUA
Molecule: long non-coding RNA, 529 nt
Filed under: Physcomitrium patens
Lineage: Eukaryota; Viridiplantae; Streptophyta; Bryopsida; Funariales; Funariaceae
Description: long non-coding RNA (PPAT_LNC014393)
Source: RNAcentral